Long non-coding RNA from Mercurialis annua (annual mercury), 622 nucleotides. RefSeq lists it as uncharacterized. The record is from RefSeq and is a predicted model, not a curated record. The transcript has 3 exons. NCBI's taxonomy places the organism in Eukaryota, Viridiplantae, Streptophyta, Magnoliopsida, Malpighiales, Euphorbiaceae.
GCAAUAAUUAUAAUUGCGGCAAUAUUUUUCUCAAAUACCAACAUUUCAUUAAGUUUUCUCUUCUAUCCAAGGUGUUUUACAAUAAAUGGAUGAGCUGGCACAAUUAUUACUUUUUAUACCCACUUUCACUCUCCUCCAUUAGCAAUCAUCCAGAGACUGAAACAUCAAACAGAGACAAAUCAUUUCCUUCGUCUUCUCAUCCAAAAUUCAUGAUCAUGGCUUCUAAUGAUUUCUUUAAAACAAUAGACUUCAAAUUUAUGGCUUCUAAUCAUUUACUUCGUCUUCUCAUCUAAGAUUCACCCAAACAGCGUCGUUGUCAUCACUCCCCAUCGUCCUAAAGCUCUCAACGCCAUGAACUUAGAUAUGGAUGCUAAGUACAAAAGUUUUCUGGGUGUAUGGGAAUCAGAUCCGAUUAAUUUUGAUUGGCAGCUCUCAAAGGUACCCAGAUGUUAAGUACAAUAAGUGUGUUCUUAUUGAAGGCAGCUCUCCUUGUGCAUUUUGUGCUGGCUAUUGAUGAUCCUUCAUUCUAAUCCCCUUUGGCUCAACGGAGGUCGGCUCUUUGAUCAUUUUACAUUUUAAUUUUGUUCAUAAUAAUUUGUCUUAUACUAUUGAUUUUUGAAUA